Molecule: transfer RNA, 72 nt
Filed under: Opeltia flavorubescens
Lineage: Eukaryota; Fungi; Ascomycota; Lecanoromycetes; Teloschistales; Teloschistaceae
Description: tRNA-Ala (TGC) (tRNA-Ala-TGC-1-1)
Rfam family: tRNA
About the family: Transfer RNA (tRNA) molecules are approximately 80 nucleotides in length.
Source: RNAcentral
GGGGGCAUAGCUCAGUGGUAGAGUGCCCGCUUUGCAUGCGGAAGGUCCGGGUUUCGAUCACCCGUGCCUCCA